This 567-nucleotide ribosomal RNA is filed under the name Monascus lunisporas. RNAcentral describes it as "LSU rRNA". It matches the Rfam family "Eukaryotic large subunit ribosomal RNA", at positions 74 to 655 of the family's 3401-position model. The record is from RNAcentral. Lineage: Eukaryota; Fungi; Ascomycota; Eurotiomycetes; Eurotiales; Aspergillaceae.
AUUGCCUCAGUAACGGCGAGUGAAGCGGCAAGAGCUCAAAUUUGAAAGCUGGCCCCCUGCGGGGUCCGCAUUGUAAUUUGCAGAGGAUGCUUCGGAUCCGGCCCCUGUCUAAGUGCUCUGGAACGGGCCGUCGGAGAGGGUGAGAAUCCCGUCUGGGACGGGGAGUCCGGGUCCAUGUGAAGCUCCUUCAACGAGUCGAGUUGUUUGGGAAUGCAGCUCUAAAUGGGUGGUAAAUUUCAUCUAAAGCUAAAUACUGGCCGGAGACCGAUAGCGCACAAGUAGAGUGAUCGAAAGAUGAAAAGCACUUUGAAAAGAGAGUUAAAAAGCACGUGAAAUUGUUGAAAGGGAAGCGCUUGCGAUCAGACUCGCCUGCGGGGUUCAGCCGGCAUUCGUGCCGGUGUACUUCCCCGUGGGCGGGCCAGCGUCGGUUCGGGCGGCCGGUCAAAGGCCCUGGGAAUGUAGCGCCCUCCGGGGCGUCUUAUAGCCCAGGGUGCCAUGCGGCCUGCCCGGACCGAGGAACGCGCUUCGGCUCGGACGCUGGCGUAAUGGUCGUAAGCGGCCCGUCUU